CUACGUGCCAGCAGCCGCGGUAAUACGUAUGUCGCAAGCGUUAUCCGGAAUUAUUGGGCAUAAAGGGCAUCUAGGCGGCCAGAUAAGUCUGGGGUGAAAACUUGCGGCUCAACCGCAAGCCUGCCCUGGAAACUAUGUGGCUAGAGUACUGGAGAGGUGGACGGAACUGCACGAGUGGAGGUGAAAUUCGUAGAUAUGUGCAGGAAUGCCGAUGAUGAAGAUAGUUCACUGGACGGUAACUGACGCUGAAGUGCGAAAGCUAGGGGAGCAAACAGGAUUAGAUACCCUGGUAGUCCUAGCUGUAAACGAUGAUUACUGGGUGUGGGCAUGAAGAGUGUCCGUGCCGAAGCUAAUGCGAUAAGUAAUCCGCCUGGGGAGUACGGCCGCAAGGCUGAAACUCAAAGGAAUUGACGGGGACCCGCACAAGCGGUGGAGCAUGUGGUUUAAUUCGACGCAACGCGAGGAACCUUACCAGAUCUUGACAUCC
Molecule: ribosomal RNA, 487 nt
Filed under: uncultured bacterium
Lineage: Bacteria
Description: bacterial SSU rRNA
Rfam family: Bacterial small subunit ribosomal RNA
Source: RNAcentral